AUGAACGCUGGCGGCGUGCCUAAUACAUGCAAGUCGAGCGAACAGACGAGGAGCUUGCUCCUCUGACGUUAGCGGCGGACGGGUGAGUAACACGUGGAUAACCUACCUAUAAGACUGGGAUAACUUCGGGAAACCGGAGCUAAUACCGGAUAAUAUAUUGAACCGCAUGGUUCAAUAGUGAAAGACGGUUUUGCUGUCACUUAUAGAUGGAUCCGCGCCGCAUUAGCUAGUUGGUAAGGUAACGGCUUACCAAGGCGACGAUGCGUAGCCGACCUGAGAGGGUGAUCGGCCACACUGGAACUGAGACACGGUCCAGACUCCUACGGGAGGCAGCAGUAGGGAAUCAUCCGCAAUGGGCGAAAGCCUGACGGAGCAAAGCCGCGUGAGUGAUGAAGGUCUUCGGAUCGUAAAACUCUGUUAUUAGGGAAGAACAAAUGUGUAAGUAACUAUGCACGUCUUGACGGUACCUAAUCAGAAAGCCACGGCUAACUACGUG
RNAcentral lists this ribosomal RNA (496 nucleotides) under uncultured bacterium. RNAcentral describes it as "partial 16S ribosomal RNA". It matches the Rfam family "Bacterial small subunit ribosomal RNA", at positions 29 to 507 of the family's 1533-position model. The record is from RNAcentral.